Molecule: ribosomal RNA, 497 nt
Filed under: uncultured bacterium
Lineage: Bacteria
Description: partial 16S ribosomal RNA
Rfam family: Bacterial small subunit ribosomal RNA
Source: RNAcentral
GAUGAACGCUGGCGGCGUGCCUAAUACAUGCAAGUCGAGCGAACAGACGAGGAGCUUGCUCCUCUGACGUUAGCGGCGGACGGGUGAGUAACACGUGGAUAACCUACCUAUAAGACUGGGAUAACUUCGGGAAACCGGAGCUAAUACCGGAUAAUAUAUUGAACCGCAUGGUUCAAUAGUGAAAGACGGUUUUGCUGUCACUUAUAGAUGGAUCCGCGCCGCAUUAGCUAGUUGGUAAGGUAACGGCUUACCAAGGCGACGAUGCGUAGCCGACCUGAGAGGGUGAUCGGCCACACUGGAACUGAGACACGGUCCAGACUCCUACGGGAGGCAGCAGUAGGGAAUCUUCCGCAAAGGGCGAAAGCCUGACGGAGCAACGCCGCGUGAGUGAUGAAGGUCUUCGGAUCGUAAAACUCUGUUAUUAGGGAAGAACAAAUGUGUAUGUAACUAUGCACGUCUUGACGGUACCUAAUCAGAAAGCCACGGCUAACUACGUG